Molecule: ribosomal RNA, 436 nt
Filed under: uncultured bacterium
Lineage: Bacteria
Description: bacterial SSU rRNA
Rfam family: Bacterial small subunit ribosomal RNA
Source: RNAcentral
AACGCGAAGAACCUUACCCAGGCUUGACAUGGAUGGGAAAGCCUCUGGAAACAGGGGCCCCUCUUCGGAGCUCAUUCACAGGUGCUGCAUGGCUGUCGUCAGCUCGUGUCGUGGGAUGUUGGGUUAAGUCCCGCAACGAGCGCAACCCUUGCCCUUAGUUACCAGCGGGUAAAGCCGGGGACUCUAGGGGGACUGCCGGUGCCAAACCGGAGGAAGGUGGGGACGACGUCAAGUCAUCAUGGUCCUUACGUCUGGGGCUACACACGUGCUACAAUGGCCGGUACAAUGGGUUGCGACCUGGCAACAGUGAGCCAAUCCCCAAAGCCGGCCUCAGUUCGGAUUGUCGUCUGCAACUCGACGGCAUGAAGCUGGAAUCGCUAGUAAUCGUGGAUCAGCGACGCCACGGUGAAUACGUUCCCGGGUCUUGUACACACCG